RNAcentral lists this ribosomal RNA (437 nucleotides) under uncultured bacterium. Its description in RNAcentral is "bacterial SSU rRNA". It matches the Rfam family "Bacterial small subunit ribosomal RNA", at positions 958 to 1397 of the family's 1533-position model. The record is from RNAcentral.
AACGCGAAGAACCUUACCCAGACUUGACAUGCAGUGGACGAUACUAGAAAUAGUAUUUCUCUUCGGAGCCGCUGCACAGGUGCUGCAUGGCUGUCGUCAGCUCGUGCCGUGAGGUGUUUGGUUAAGUCCAGCAACGAGCGCAACCCUUAUCAUUAGUUGCCAGCAUUUCGGAUGGGCACUCUAGUGAGACUGCCUGGGUUAACCAGGAGGAAGGUGAGGAUGACGUCAAGUCCGCAUGGCCCUUAUGUCUGGGGCUACACACGUGCUACAAUGGUCGGUACAGAAGGCAGCGAAGCCGCGAGGCGUAGCAAAUCCCAAAAGCCGAUCCCAGUUCAGAUUGUAGUCUGCAACUCGACUACAUGAAGUUGGAAUUGCUAGUAAUGGCAGGUCAGCACACUGCCGUGAAUACGUUCCCGGGCCUUGUACACACCGCGAGC